Molecule: ribosomal RNA, 253 nt
Filed under: uncultured bacterium
Lineage: Bacteria
Description: partial 16S ribosomal RNA
Rfam family: Bacterial small subunit ribosomal RNA
Source: RNAcentral
UACGUAGGGGGCAAGCGUUGUCCGGAAUUAUUGGGCGUAAAGAGCGUGUAGGCGGUCCGGUAAGUCAGCUGUGAAAGUCAAGGGCUCAACCCUUGAAAGCCGGUUGAUACUGUCGGGCUAGAGUCCGGAAGAGGCGAGUGGAAUUCCCGGUGUAGCGGUGAAAUGCGCAGAUAUCGGGAGGAACAUCAAUGGCGAAGGCAGCUCGCUGGGACGGUACUGACGCUGAGACGCGAAGGCGUGGGGAGCGAACGGG